AAAGAAUUAGUUAAAUUAAAUAACAUAAAUAUGUCAAAUUUAAAUUAUUAUUUUAAAUAUAAUAUUCUUUU
Molecule: transfer RNA, 71 nt
Filed under: Rhodinia fugax
Lineage: Eukaryota; Metazoa; Arthropoda; Insecta; Lepidoptera; Saturniidae
Description: tRNA-Asp
Source: RNAcentral